CAGUAGCCGCGGUAACACAGAGGGUGCGAGCGUUAAUCGGAUUUACUGGGCGUAAAGCGUGCGUAGGCGGCUAAUUGAGUCGGAUGUGAAAUCCCCGAGCUUAACUUGGGAAUUGCAUUCGAUACUGGUUAGCUAGAGUGUGGGAGAGGAUGGUAGAAUUCCAGGUGUAGCGGUGAAAUGCGUAGAGAUCUGGAGGAAUACCGAUGGCGAAGGCAGCCAUCUGGCCUAACACUGACGCUGAGGUACGAAAGCAUGGGGAGCAAACAGGAUUAGAUACCCGGGUAGUCCCUGUCUCUUAUAC
RNAcentral lists this ribosomal RNA (301 nucleotides) under uncultured bacterium. RNAcentral's name for it is "partial 16S ribosomal RNA". It matches the Rfam family "Bacterial small subunit ribosomal RNA", at positions 509 to 807 of the family's 1533-position model. The record is from RNAcentral.